UCCUUGUUCUUUCCCGCCUAUAUACCACCGUCGUCAGCUUACCCUGUGAAGGCCCUAUAGUAAGCACAAUCGGCAAUGCCCAAUACGUCAGGUCGAGGUGUAGCGAAUGGAAGGGGAAGAAAUGGGCUACAUUUACUAAUAUAGUAAAUACGGAUGAUCACCCUGCAACGAGUAUCUGAAGGAGGAAGUGGCAGUAAGCAAAAAAUAGAGCGUUUUGCUGAAAUUGGCCCUGAAGCGUGCACACACCGCCCGUCACUCUCCCCGAACUAAGAUCUAAAACAUAACUAAUAUGCUAUAACUGUAAAGGGGAGGCAAGUCGUAACAUGGUAAGCGUACCGGAAGGUGCGCUUGGAAAAAC
Molecule: ribosomal RNA, 358 nt
Filed under: Chaetodon kleinii (sunburst butterflyfish)
Lineage: Eukaryota; Metazoa; Chordata; Actinopteri; Chaetodontiformes; Chaetodontidae
Description: partial 12S ribosomal RNA
Rfam family: Bacterial small subunit ribosomal RNA
Source: RNAcentral